ACGGCGUUUAGGUGCGGAUCA
Molecule: non-coding RNA, 21 nt
Filed under: Arabidopsis thaliana (thale cress)
Lineage: Eukaryota; Viridiplantae; Streptophyta; Magnoliopsida; Brassicales; Brassicaceae
Source: RNAcentral